UACGAGGGGUGCAAGCGUUGCUCGGAAUUAUUGGGCGUAAAGGGUAGGUAGGUGGUCUCGUUUGUCUGGGGUGAAAGCCUUGAGCUUAACUCAAGAAGUGCCCUAGAAACGGCGAGACUAGAGUCUUGGAGAGGGUCGUGGAAUUCCCGGUGUAGCGGUGAAAUGCGCAGAUAUCAGGAGGAACACCGGUGGCGAAGGCGGGACUCUGGGCCGAUACUGACGCUGAGGAGCGAAAGCGUGGGGAGCAAACAGG
RNAcentral lists this ribosomal RNA (253 nucleotides) under uncultured bacterium. Its description in RNAcentral is "partial 16S ribosomal RNA". It matches the Rfam family "Bacterial small subunit ribosomal RNA", at positions 524 to 776 of the family's 1533-position model. The record is from RNAcentral.